This 450-nucleotide ribosomal RNA is filed under the name uncultured bacterium. Its description in RNAcentral is "partial 16S ribosomal RNA". It matches the Rfam family "Bacterial small subunit ribosomal RNA", at positions 354 to 796 of the family's 1533-position model. The record is from RNAcentral.
GUGGGGAAUUUUGGACAAUGGGCGCAAGCCUGAUCCAGCAAUGCCGCGUGCAGGAAGAAGGCCUUCGGGUUGUAAACUGCUUUUGUACGGAACGAAACGGUCCUGGUUAAUACCCGGGGCUAAUGACGGUACCGUAAGAAUAAGCACCGGCUAACUACGUGCCAGCAGCCGCGGUAAUACGUAGGGUGCAAGCGUUAAUCGGAAUUACUGGGCGUAAAGCGUGCGCAGGCGGUGCUGUAAGACAGGCGUGAAAUCCCCGGGCUUAACCUGGGAAUUGCGCUGGUGACUGCAGUGCUGGAGUGCGGCAGAGGGGGAUGGAAUUCCGCGUGUAGCAGUGAAAUGCGUAGAUAUGCGGAGGAACACCGAUGGCGAAGGCAAUCCCCUGGGCCUGCACUGACGCUCAUGCACGAAAGCGUGGGGAGCAAACAGGAUUAGAAACCCCUGUAGUCC